GGACUACACGGGUUUCUAAUCCCGUUCGCUCCCCUAGCUUUCGCACCUCAGCGUCAGAAAUCAGCCAGAAACCCGCCUUCGCCACGGGUGUUCUCCACGAUAUCUACGCAUUUCACCGCUACACCGUGAAUUCCAGUUUCCCCUCUGAUCCUCAAGCACAGUAGUUUCAGAGGCAGUUUCCAGGUUAGGCCUGGAGCUUGCACCCCUGACUUGCUGCACCGCCUACGUGCGCUUUACGCCCAGUGAUUCCGGACAACGCUUGCCCCUUACGUAUUACCGCGGCGGCUGGCAC
Molecule: ribosomal RNA, 292 nt
Filed under: uncultured bacterium
Lineage: Bacteria
Description: partial 16S ribosomal RNA
Source: RNAcentral